AACAAUAUCUUGUUAAGGUUUCAGUCUUUAUGGGUUAUUCAGAAUGUUUGUUUUCAUAUUUUUUGAUAUUAGAUGUUAAAGAUUCAAUCUUUAUGAUUUGUUGACAAUUUUUGAUUUUGGGUAUCCUUAUUUUUUUACCGAUGUUCUUUUGAUUUGGAUGACUGCUUUAUUAAGUUUCAGCUCUCAUUAUGCACGUUACGUAUUCGCUGAAAUUCUUUCCACAUAAAGACUCUGGUUACAACCACCAUAAAUAUCCUUUGAAAAGCAUUUACUAUAAUCAUUUUCCUGUGUAUAUUCUGGUCAUAUACACUGAGUUUUAGAGCUGAAAGUAUCUUUGAAUUUGAUGAAGAAAAGGCUAUGUUUGAGACAAGAUAAAUAAAAUUCUUGUUGAGAAUUCUUGUUGUGAUUGAUGUAAUAUGUGCUUAGGUAAAUAAGUAUAAAUGUGAAAAUAUAUGUUUUUGUGUAUAAGGUGAGUUUUAGUUUUUAGUCAAAGAAUUGUGGAUGUAUAUGAAAGUUGGUCUAUGGAAAGGUGUAAUGUCCAAGUCUUUGAUCUAAGUGUUUCCAUAUGAGAAAUAUAUAAAGAACUAAAACAAGAAGGAAAUUUUUUUUGAAUAAUUUGGAUGAAUAGGUUGUAUAAUUAAGGGAUUGGGGUAUUGAAUUCAACUAGAAUGUUUAAUGGUGAUAGAAUGAAGAUUUUUGAACGUUUUUGCGAGGUGGUAUUAGAUUUAGCAGCAAUUUAGAUUGAGGUUUAAGAUCGCUUAAAUGAGUUAUAGAAAUUAGUAGUAAGUAUUUUUGCUUUUCUAGUGAGAUGGUGAUAUAUGGUAGACUAAAUAUAAAAGAACAGAUUCUUUUUUAGAUCUUCGGCGAUCUGUGCAGUUCUCCAUAGAACUAUGUUACUGGUUGUUGUGUGUGUGCUUAGAUAAAUAUGCAUAGAUAUGGGAUUAUUUUUCCUAGUUAAGGAGUUGCUUCUGGAGGUUAUUGGUUUCAAGGUUGUGGUUGUGGAUAAAUAUGCAAAUUGGUUUCUAAAAAGGUGUAAAGUCUGUGCACGAAGAUAAUGAUGAAAGAGUUGUUGUACGAGUAUGGUGUCGAUUUAAUCUUCAAUGGACACACAAGUACAAGACUAAUAUAUCAAUAUACGAGAGCACAUAAACUACUUUGUAUCAUUCUAGGUGCAGAAAGAUGAAUGUUCAUUUUGUUGUUUUAUCAUAACCACAUAUCUAUGUAUCAAAUAUUGAUAAAUUAAAGGAAUCUACAAGUUCAUGCCUAUGAAAGGACUAACAGAAUCUAUAACUACAAACUGGAUUCUUGCGGUCCAGUUUAUAUAACUGUCAGUGAUGGUGGAAACCAUGAGAAGGUGGCCAUAGAACGUGCUAAUGAGCUUAGAAAAUGUUCUGAACAAGCUAGCACACCGAACAAAUUUAUAGGCAGAUUUUGUGCCUAUAAUUUGACAUUAGGUCUAGCAGUUGGCAACUUCUGUUGGGAUCAAUAACCUGAAAAUAGUACAUAUAGUGAAAGUAGCUACGGACAUAGAAUACUCGAGGUAAAUAUAUAUCUCUAGCAUCGCAAACUGCUAAUCACAUACUUGAUACAAUGGUCCACUCAAUUCUGCAAAAAAUCAGUUCACAUCCAAUCUCCACAAAUCACAACACCACAAAGAUUUUCCAAGAUGUUGCUAUAGACAAUAUGAAGCAACAAUUGUUUAUCUGAUUCGACGAGUGUUUCACUGUUAGAACAUAUGUUAUUCCAAACAAUCUUGUAUUUUUAGAGCAUGUUUUAAUUUCACAUAAUAUUUAUUUCUUGUUAUUUCAGAGAUCAGAGCCUCUAAAUCAUUUGACACGUCUUAUUUACUUUGCUUUGUUUGAUGAAUGGUCCUCCAGUCCUCUGUGGAGUUAUUUAAAUUCUUGUGUCUCUUCUUAGGUGUAGUGCUACUGGUUAGUGUUGUCCUUGUUAUCUAUUUUGGUGACAUACUUGCUUGUACUGCUGCUAAGGUUAGUAACUAAGAUUUCAGGCAACGGCAGAGAUAACUUAAAUUUUAAUUUUUUUAUAGCAGUCUUGUUGUUAGAAGCAUUAUCAAAAGCAAUACAUCAUAUUUUAUUUUCGAUACCAUAAAAUCCGGCAACUUUAAUAAUAAAAUCAGCAAUAAAAUCUCUAGUAUGUUUACGAUCUUCAUCAUAUAAAAAAGCAAGAAUACGUUUUUGCAUCACAAAAUUACUAUCCAUCCAGUGACAAGUAAAGGUUAAAUAAUCAUUUUUAUUUACAGCACGAUCAAGAUCAGAAGUUAGGGUUAAUCUACCUUGAAUAUUUUUAACAAUGUUAAUAAAUAAAAACAAUAUUGUGAAUGAAGUCUAAAAAUAUCAGAUCGACAAGUACUUUUAGGAACACCAUUAAACAUAGGACUAUAAAUUGCUUGAAUAUAAUGAAUAAAGGCAUCAGAAGAAGAAAAACUAAAAGGCAAACAAUCCACUGCUACCAUUUUAGCUAUUUUUUUUCGGUCCCUCAAUUUAUUAUACUUCUUCGUUACCUGACCGGUUGCUGGGUUCAUUCUAGUUUGCGUUCGCCCACGAACGUCCCCACCACCUCGUGCAAUAUUUAAUUCUCUUUCGUGAGCAUCACCUAUAUGUCUCAUUAACGUACCCGUAGCCCCUUGCUUGCCUCCACUUUUAUGCUUAUAUAUUUAUUGACAAAUAUUGCAUUGCACCUCAGUAUCUGAUAUACGUUCAAAAAAUUGUCAUGCAAUACUAGUUAUUUUACGAGCUCUUGGGGCUUGGGGAGGACGGGAAGGGAGAUUAACCGAUUCAGAUCUGACGUUAGCAUUUCCUCCUGCGGAUGUUUCACCAAUAUUUUCAUCAUCUUCGUCUAAAUUAACCGCAUCUACUUCAUUUUCUUCUUCUAUACCGUAAUUUUCCUGAGCUUCUACAUAAUCCAUAUCUUGAGCACCUACACCUAAAGGUACGUCUACUUCUUUCUCAAAAGGUUGAUUAAGCGGUGUCGGAGGCACACGGAUAUAUCUACUACUUGAACUACCUCUACCGCUAGUAAUUUACUUUUUACUACCACGACCGCUUUCGAGACAAAAAAUUUUAACACCUUUAGUAGCGAGGUUUCUUAAUUUAUCCAUAAUAUAAAUUAAACUAAAAAAAUUCAAAAUACACAAAUAUAUUAAAAUUAAAUAUUCAACAAUUGAUACACUAAAUAAAAAUUAAACUUAAGAGAUAGAACGACAAUACCAAAUUUUGGAAGUAUCCGAAGGUUGCGACAUUAGAAACUUUCACCCGUACUUUGUAAUCGCAAAAUUAAAAAAUUAAAGUGAGCACUUUAGGAAAUUAAAUUUAUAGAAUAUUUGAGAAUUGGGAAUUGAAAAUUGAGAUUUAAGAGAAUGAGAUUUGAGAGAAUUAAAAAUUGUGUGAAAAAUGAUUUGAAGGUGUAUGGUAUUGGGAUUAAAAAAUAAUUUUAAACGUAAUUUUUUUUUUUAAUUAAUGGGCCCAAACUAGCUAUUUGUACCCAAAAACGGCUAUAUAGCCGUUGGGCCAACGGUUAGUUUGGCUCAAAAUCUAAAAGUUAAAAAAAAAAAAAAGUAAAAUUGAGCUAGGUUAAUUGGGUCCAAAACAAAAAAAAAUGGUCCGGUACCCGAUAUCCUAAAGCCCUUGAACUUAUCGGGCCGAUUUCAUUAAAUGGGCCGCCCGGCCCGUUUGACAGGCUUAGGUUAGUUUCUCACAUUUUACUUUCUCGGAUAGUAGAUGAUAUAGUAUAGAUACCUAACAAGCAGCUAUUUUUCGUGAACAGUCCCAUGGGUUACCAUAUGGAAUCCAAAAAAGAUUUCGCAUUAUUAUUCAUGUAUUGUACAAGCUGUAGUUUUCUAGAUUAUUCUCCGUGAUAUAGAGUAAAAGGUUUCUAAUUCACAAUAUUGAAUACGCGCUUCAAAUUCUAAAGCGUAUUAGCUUGGUAUCUUCGAGUGAUACUGCAGAUAAUCAUAUAAGGCGAUUUUUUGUGUUCUACAUUUUCCUCGCAUGAGUUCUCAUUAUAGUUGUACCAUCAUGGAUGCAGCUUGUUCAAGAUUUUCAUGUGCACCCUUUUCUAUGGUAAGCCUUUGUCGGGAACUUUUUUUUGUUUUUGGAUAAUUACAGAUAUUAUGCUGCAUAUUGUUGUUAUGUUUGCGUGAUUUGGUUAAUGGAAGUUUAGUGGUUUGUAGGGAUGAUUUACACUUGUGCUAGAUAAUUAGGCUUUUUAAAUCGAAAGUGCAAGCAUGUGAUGGACCUUGAUAAACAUGUGGAGAUUUGAUCCUUUAUAAAUAAAUGUUGCAUGACCUCCGGUUAGGCAAGAAGCUGGUUGUAGUGUAUAUCUGAAAAAGAUGAUAUGCAUGUUCAUAAUAGGGUGCAGAAGUGUCAUGACUGAAGUUAUGUACCUACAUAAUAAUAUACUAUUUAAUAUGUGCUGAGGUAUUAAUUGGCACAGGCAUUGAAUCUUAUGGUGCAGGAGUGUGAAUCAAUAGUGACAGAAGAACCACCACAUACAAUGUUGAUACCAAUUGAGUAUUUCCUCGUGGGAUAUGGACUAUACAGACCUAAUCAGUUCAGUGGCAGCCCAAGGAGUCCUCUUAGUCCAUUAUGUCUGGAACAUGCAAGACUUAAGGCCAGACUUGAGAUUUUUGAAAGGAAUCAAAAGUACACACAUGCUCGUCGCGCCCUAUUUCGAAUCGGUCGAAACAGCACGCAAUAUGUGGUGGCUAGUGUCGUGACUCUUGGGUUUUGAAAAUUUAUUUUUUAGAGUCGCCACCUAACUUUUUAAAAAAAUUAGAAAAAAACCAUUUUUUAUGUAGAAAACUCUGUUUUGGUCU
Molecule: long non-coding RNA, 4834 nt
Organism: Capsicum annuum
Lineage: Eukaryota; Viridiplantae; Streptophyta; Magnoliopsida; Solanales; Solanaceae
Exons: 2
Source: RefSeq, a predicted model, not a curated record